This 411-nucleotide unclassified non-coding RNA is filed under the name uncultured fungus. Its description in RNAcentral is "partial contains small subunit ribosomal RNA, internal transcribed spacer 1, and 5.8S ribosomal RNA". The stretch from base 1 to 73 matches the Rfam family "Eukaryotic small subunit ribosomal RNA", at positions 1759 to 1831 of the family's 1831-position model. The record is from RNAcentral. Lineage: Eukaryota; Fungi.
UCAAACUUGGUCAUUUAGAGGAAGUAAAAGUCGUAACAAGGUUUCCGUAGGUGAACCUGCGGAAGGAUCAUUAAAAAACAAAAGAUCGACCUCUUCUUCUUCUUUUCGAAGAAGAAGAGAUAUGGACGAUCGAAUCCAUAUCCACCUUGUGUGCACUGACUGACCGUUCGCUUUGGCAGGAGGAGUCUUGGAAUUUAUAAUAUUAUUUUAUGAUUCCAAGCGAGGUUCUAAAAAAAAAAGAACCUUGGCCUGCCAGAGUUUUUCUUAUUGCAAGAAAAAAACAAAAAAAACGCUUUCUUUUCAUAUCUUCCAGAAUGGAACCUUUCCAUCUCGAUUCUCUGUAAUCGAUUGAAACCAAAUACAACUUUCAACAACGGAUCUCUUGGCUCUCGCAUCGAUGAAGAACGCAGC